GAUGAACGCUGGCGGCGUGCCUAACACAUGCAAGUCGAGCGAAGCACUUACUUUAGAUUUCUUCGGAAUGACGAAGUUUGUGACUGAGCGGCGGACGGGUGAGUAACGCGUGGGCAACCUGCCCUGUACAGGGGGAUAACAGUUAGAAAUGACUGCUAAUACCGCAUAAGCCCACAGCUUCGCAUGAAGCAGUGGGAAAAACUCCGGUGGUACAGGAUGGGCCCGCGUCUGAUUAGCUAGUUGGUAAGGUAACGGCUUACCAAGGCGACGAUCAGUAGCCGACCUGAGAGGGUGACCGGCCACAUUGGGACUGAGACACGGCCCAAACUACUACGGGAGGCAGCAGUGGGGAAUAUUGCACAAUGGGGGAAACCCUGAUGCAGCGACGCCGCGUGAGCGAUGAAGUAUUUCGGUAUGUAAAGCUCUAUCAGCAGGGAAGAAAGUGACGGUACCUGACUAAGAAGCCCCGGCUAACUACGUG
This 481-nucleotide ribosomal RNA is filed under the name uncultured bacterium. RNAcentral describes it as "partial 16S ribosomal RNA". It matches the Rfam family "Bacterial small subunit ribosomal RNA", at positions 28 to 507 of the family's 1533-position model. The record is from RNAcentral.